RNAcentral lists this ribosomal RNA (433 nucleotides) under uncultured bacterium. RNAcentral describes it as "partial 16S ribosomal RNA". It matches the Rfam family "Bacterial small subunit ribosomal RNA", at positions 29 to 507 of the family's 1533-position model. The record is from RNAcentral.
AACGAACGCUGGCGGCAUGCCUAACACAUGCAAGUCGAACGAGACCUUCGGGUCUAGUUGCGCACGGGUGCGUAACGCGUGGGAACCUGCCCUUAGGUUCGGAAUAACUCCCCGAAAGGGGUGCUAAUACCGGAUAACGUCCUCGGACCAAAGAUUUAUCGCCUUUGGAUGGGCCCGCGUUGGAUUAGCUAGUUGGUAGGGUAAAAGCCUACCAAGGCGACGAUCCAUAGCUGGUCUGAGAGGAUGAGCAGCCACACUGGGGCUGAGACACGGCCCAGACUCCUACGGGAGGCAGCAGUGGGGAAUAUUGGACAAUGGGCGAAAGCCUGAACCAGCAAUGCCGCGUGAGUGAUGAAGGCCUUAGGGUUGUAAAGCUCUUUUACCCGGGAUGAUAAUGACAGUACCGGGAGAAUAAGCUCCGGCUAACUCCGUG